CGGUAACAGGGAGCUUGCUCCGCUGACGAGUGGCGAACGGGUGAGUAAUGUAUCGGAACGUACCAUUGAGUGGGGGAUAACGUAGCGAAAGUUACGCUAAUACCGCAUAUUCUCUCCGGAGGAAAGCAGGGGACCGCAAGGCCUUGCGCUCUUUGAGCGGCCGAUAUCAGAUUAGCUAGUUGGUGGGGUAAAAGCUCACCAAGGCGACGAUCUGUAGCGGGUCUGAGAGGAUGAUCCGCCACACUGGAACUGAGACACGGUCCAGACUCCUACGGGAGGCAGCAGUGGGGAAUUUUGGACAAUGGGGGCAACCCUGAUCCAGCCAUGCCGCGUGAGUGAAGAAGGCCUUCGGGUUGUAAAGCUCUUUCGGCCGGGAAGAAAUCGUAUCAGCUAAUACCUGGUGCAGAUGACGGUACCGGCAUAAGAAGCACCGGCUAACUACGUGCCAGCAGCCGCGGUAAUACGUAGGGUGCGAGCGUUAAUCGGAAUUACUGGGCGUAAAGCGUGCGCAGGCGGUUUUGUAAGACAGGCGUGAAAUCCCCGGGCUCAACCUGGGAACUGCGUUUGUGACUGCAAGGCUAGAGUACGGCAGAGGGGGGUGGAAUUCCACGUGUAGCAGUGAAAUGCGUAGAGAUGUGGAGGAACACCAAUGGCGAAG
This 658-nucleotide ribosomal RNA is filed under the name uncultured bacterium. RNAcentral describes it as "bacterial SSU rRNA". It matches the Rfam family "Bacterial small subunit ribosomal RNA", at positions 67 to 720 of the family's 1533-position model. The record is from RNAcentral.